GUGCCAGCCGCCGCGGUAAUACGGGGGGGGCAAGCGUUGUUCGGAAUUACUGGGCGUAAAGGGCUCGUAGGCGGCCAACUAAGUCGGACGUGAAAUCCCCAGGCUCAACUUGGGAACUGCGUCCGAUACUGGAUGGCUUGAAUUCGGGAGAGGGAUGCAGAAUUCCAGGUGUAGCGGUGAAAUGCGUAGAUAUCUGGAGGAAUACCGGUGGCGAAGGCGGCAUCCUGGACCGACAUUGACGCUGAGGAGCGAAAGCUAGGGGAGCAAACGGGAUUAGAAACCCGUGUAGUCC
Molecule: ribosomal RNA, 292 nt
Filed under: uncultured bacterium
Lineage: Bacteria
Description: partial 16S ribosomal RNA
Rfam family: Bacterial small subunit ribosomal RNA
Source: RNAcentral